ACUUCAGGUACUCACCACCGGCUCCCGAGUCUGCACCUUUUUCUCUCUCUUUGCAAGCCAUCGGUUUCAGAGAGAGAGAGUGGUGGCAAUGGCGGCAAAGCUAGACUUCCCAGAAAGACUCGAAACCCAGAUCUGAUUCGUGGGGUGGGCAAGUUCUCCAGGUCCAAGAUGUAACACAAGCGCGGCCUUUGGGCCAUCAAGGCCAAAAACGGCGGCGUUUUUCCCCGCCAUGACCCGAAGCCAACGGCUGAGACCGGGCCGGAAAAGGCCCCCAAGUUCUACCCUGCCGAUGACGUCAAGAAGCCGCUCGUCAACAAGCGCAAGCUCAAGCCUACCAAGCUCAGGGCUAGUGUUACACCAGGUACGGUGUUGAUUAUAUUGGCGGGAAGGUUUAAGGGCAAGAGAGUUGUUUUUCUUAAGCAGCUUCCAUCUGGGUUGCUUCUCGUUACUGGGCCAUUCAAAAUUAAUGGUGUUCCUUUGAGACGCGUGAACCAGUCCUAUGUGAUUGCCACUUCCACCAAGGUUGACAUUUCUGGGGUGAAUGUCGAGAAGUUUGAUGACAAAUACUUUGCAAAGCAAGUGGAGAAGAAGAAAAAUAAGGGAGAGGGAGAAUUUUUUGAGGCAGAGAAAGAGGAAAAGAAUGUGUUCCCACAAGAAAAGAAAGAUGAUCAGAAAAGUGUGGAUGCCUCAUUGAUAAAGUCGAUUUACGCCGUCCCAGACUUGAAGACAUACUUAGCAGCGAGAUUCUCUCUUAAGUCAGACAUGAAGCCGCACGAGCUUGUCUUUUAGAUGAUUAUCUCGUUUUUAUUACUUACUCUUGAGAAUUUUCUGGGCUUAGACUGUCUGUUUAAGAUUUCUCAGCGGUUUUAUGUUUUCAUUUUGUCGGCAUAUCCAACAUGAUGUAUUUUAUUUGUUUUAGAGUUGUAAGGGUAUAUUCGUCUUUUAUCUCACUAAGCUGUUAUCUUAAGUAGAUCAUCACACUUUAGUGGUGCAUAGUGUAAGUUUUUCUUUUGCUACUAGUGCAAAAAGUUUUUUUAUAUCAAAGAAUGCAUGGAUUGCAUUA
This is an RNA transcript of Prunus dulcis (almond), 1063 nucleotides long. It is a transcript of the gene named 60S ribosomal protein L6-like, with no coding region annotated. The record is from RefSeq and is a predicted model, not a curated record. The transcript has 4 exons. Lineage: Eukaryota; Viridiplantae; Streptophyta; Magnoliopsida; Rosales; Rosaceae.